Molecule: non-coding RNA, 84 nt
Organism: Hypoxylon fuscum
Lineage: Eukaryota; Fungi; Ascomycota; Sordariomycetes; Xylariales; Hypoxylaceae
Source: the annotation of a GenBank genome assembly
GGUGUCUUGGUGUAGCGGUCUAACACACUCCCUCCGUUGGUAAGUGGUUGGGAGAGAUCGGAGGUUCGAAUCCUCCAUGCGCCU